RNAcentral lists this ribosomal RNA (569 nucleotides) under uncultured soil bacterium. Its description in RNAcentral is "bacterial SSU rRNA". It matches the Rfam family "Bacterial small subunit ribosomal RNA", at positions 35 to 616 of the family's 1533-position model. The record is from RNAcentral.
GUUGGCGGCGUGGAUUAGGCAUGCAAGUCGAGCGCGAAGCCCCGCAAGGGGUGGAAAGCGGCGUAAGGGAGAGGAACACGUGGAUUAUCUGCCCUCGGGUCCGGGAUAGCUGCGGGAAACUGCAGGUAAUACCGGAUGACAUCUCCGGAUCAAAGGUGUGAUUCCGCCCGAGGAUGAGUCCGCGUCCUAUUAGCUAGUUGGUGGGGUAAUGGCCUACCAAGGCAAUGAUGGGUACCGGGUGUGAGAGCACGACCCGGCUCACUGGGACUGAGACACUGCCCAGACACCUACGGGUGGCUGCAGUCGAGGAUCUUCGGCAAUGGGCGCAAGCCUGACCGAGCGACGCCGCGUGUGGGAUGAAGGCCUUCGGGUUGUAAACCACUGUCAGAGGGGAUGAAAUGCGUAGGGGUACUCUCCUACGUUUGACAUAGCCUCAGAGGAAGUACGGGCUAAGUUCGUGCCAGCAGCCGCGGUAAGACGAACCGUACAAACGUUAUUCGGAAUCACUGGGCUUAAAGGGUGCGUAGGCGGCGGCGCAAGUUGGGUGUGAAAUCCCUCGGCUCAACCGA